AUUGAACGCUGGCGGCAUGACUUACACAUGCAAGUCGAACGGUAACAGGCCGCGAGCUGCUGACUAGUGGCGGACGGGGGAGGACUGCUUCGGAACGCACCGGAACCUGCGUGUUCGCUGCUCGUAAGGGUGGCUAAUACCGCAUACGACCUAAUGAUGCCAGCGGGGGACCGCAGGGCCUCGCCCGAUUUGGGCCGCCGAUGUCGGAUUAGGUAGUUGGUGGGGUAAAGGCCCACCAAGCCGACGAUCCGUAGCUGGUCUGAGAGGAUGAGCAGCCACACUGGGACUGAGACACGGUCCAGACUCCUACGGGAGGCAGCAGUGGGGAAUAUUGGACAAUGGGCGCAAGCCUGAUCCAGCAAUGCCGCGUGCGGGAAGAAGGCCUUCGGGUUGUAAAGUGCUUUUGUUGGGAAAGAAAAGGCGCUGGUUAAUACCCGGGGGUACUGACGGUACCGAAAGAAUAAGCACCGGCUAACUUCGUG
RNAcentral lists this ribosomal RNA (482 nucleotides) under uncultured bacterium. Its description in RNAcentral is "partial 16S ribosomal RNA". It matches the Rfam family "Bacterial small subunit ribosomal RNA", at positions 29 to 507 of the family's 1533-position model. The record is from RNAcentral.